UACGGAGGGGGCUAGCGUUGUUCGGAAUUACUGGGCGUAAAGCGCACGUAGGCGGACCUGCAAGUCGGGGGUGAAAGCCCGAGGCUCAACCUCGGAACUGCCUUCGAUACUGCGGGUCUCGAGUCCGGGAGAGGUGAGUGGAAUUCCUAGUGUAGAGGUGAAAUUCGUAGAUAUUAGGAAGAACACCAGUGGCGAAGGCGGCUCACUGGCCCGGUACUGACGCUGAGGCGCGAAAGCGUGGGGAGCAAACAGG
RNAcentral lists this ribosomal RNA (253 nucleotides) under uncultured bacterium. RNAcentral describes it as "partial 16S ribosomal RNA". It matches the Rfam family "Bacterial small subunit ribosomal RNA", at positions 524 to 776 of the family's 1533-position model. The record is from RNAcentral.